This 649-nucleotide ribosomal RNA is filed under the name Salmonella enterica subsp. enterica serovar Kentucky. RNAcentral describes it as "partial 23S ribosomal RNA". It matches the Rfam family "Bacterial large subunit ribosomal RNA", at positions 911 to 1480 of the family's 2925-position model. Lineage: Bacteria; Pseudomonadati; Pseudomonadota; Gammaproteobacteria; Enterobacterales; Enterobacteriaceae. The record is from RNAcentral.
UGUUUCGGCUAGGGGGCCAUCCCGGCUUACCAACCCGAUGCAAACUGCGAAUACCGGAGAAUGUUAUCACGGGAGACACACGGCGGGUGCUAACGUCCGUCGUGAAGAGGGAAACAACCCAGACCGCCAGCUAAGGUCCCAAAGUCAUGGUUAAGUGGGAAACGAUGUGGGAAGGCCCAGACAGCCAGGAUGUUGGCUUAGAAGCAGCCAUCAUUUAAAGAAAGCGUAAUAGCUCACUGGUCGAGUCGGCCUGCGCGGAAGAUGUAACGGGGCUAAACCAUGCACCGAAGCUGCGGCAGCGAACGUAUCACUUAAAGCGAUUCAGCGGGUUACGAUUGACGGAGCGAAGCGACGUCAAAGCGUAUACAAAGUCGAGUCGGUUUAAGGAUACGUUCGUUGGGUAGGGGAGCGUUCUGUAAGCCUGUGAAGGUGGCCUGUGAGGGUUGCUGGAGGUAUCAGAAGUGCGAAUGCUGACAUAAGUAACGAUAAAGCGGGUGAAAAGCCCGCUCGCCGGAAGACCAAGGGUUCCUGUCCAACGUUAAUCGGGGCAGGGUGAGUCGACCCCUAAGGCGAGGCCGAAAGGCGUAGUCGAUGGGAAACGGGUUAAUAUUCCCGUACUUGGUGUUACUGCGAAGGGGGGACGGAGAAG